UUCUUCAUCCUCAUCAUCUUUUACCUUCAAACUCUCAAUCCCUUUCUUCCCCUUCUCUCACGUCCCACUCCCCUCACCCACAGCGGCGGCACAACCAAGCCCAGCCAUGAGUUCCACCACCAACAGCAACCGCUUCUCCUCCUCCCUUUAUUAUUGGAGACGACAUCAUCGAGGAACCUUUCUAGUGAUCGUGGAGAAACGGACUUCGCUUCUUGAAGCGUUAUUGUUUGAUCACAGAUCGGAACCGUCGGGAACGAUGGGUUAACGGCGUUGAAUAGCGUUCCAAGGAUGUAUAUUGAGCUGAGCAUGUAGGAAUUUGUAAUUUUGUAUUAGGUUUUUGGAUAAAUGUAUAUUUGUUUUGGUUGUGCUGGUUAUAUCGGUCUUGUAGAGAAUUGUAUGACUAUCUUGUGUAUUAGUUAGAUGUUGGUUUUAGGAUUUAGCUGAGUUAGUCACGUUGAAGAGCUUG
Molecule: long non-coding RNA, 466 nt
Organism: Amaranthus tricolor (Joseph's coat)
Lineage: Eukaryota; Viridiplantae; Streptophyta; Magnoliopsida; Caryophyllales; Amaranthaceae
Exons: 3
Source: RefSeq, a predicted model, not a curated record